CUCACACAAGUAAAUACUAUAAAUACAGUUAAGUACAGUUAAAUGGGUAGGCAUUUAAAUAACAAAAUAUUAGUAUUGCCAGCCCCCCUGAUUUUGAGUCAUUUCAAUUGCUAUAAACAUUAUAAUUUUAGCAAUAUUCAUAGUAAAAAUUUUUGCCUCAUAAUUCAAAUUAAUCGUAGGGCAUUUGACUACAAUCACUAGUCUUUUAACUAUAUAUAUUAAAAUAAUUCAAUUUGUCUUGAAAGUUGAAGAAGUUAGCUAGGAAUGUGAAAAAAAUUUAUAAAGUACACAUUCAUAGAAGAAGUUCUAU
RNAcentral lists this long non-coding RNA (310 nucleotides) under Bos taurus (domestic cattle). RNAcentral describes it as "long non-coding RNA NONBTAT025230". Lineage: Eukaryota; Metazoa; Chordata; Mammalia; Artiodactyla; Bovidae. The record is from RNAcentral.